CCUAUCAGCUUGUUGUGGGGUGAUGGGCCUACCAAGGCGACGACGGGUAGCCGGCCUGAGAGGGUGUCCGGCCACACUGGGACUGAGAUACGGCCCAGACUCCUACGGGAGGCAGCAGUGGGGAAUAUUGCACAAUGGGCGCAAGCCUGAUGCAGCGACGCCGCGUGGGGGAUGACGGCCUUCGGGUUGUAAACCUCUUUCAGUAGGGACGAAGCGUAAGUGACGGUACCUAUAGAAGAAGCACCGGCCAACUACGUGCCAGCAGCCGCGGUAAUACGUAGGGUGCGAGCGUUGUCCGGAAUUACUGGGCGUAAAGAGCUCGUAGGUGGUUUGUCGCGUUGUUCGUGAAAACUCACAGCUUAACUGUGGGGCGUGCGGGCGAUACGGGCAGACUGGAGUACUGCAGGGGAGACUGGAAUUCCUGGUGUAGCGGUGGAAUGCGCAGAUAUCAGGAGGAACACCGGUGGCGAAGGCGGGUCUCUGGGGCAGUAACUGACGCUGAGGAGCGAAAGCGUGGGGAGCGAAC
This 526-nucleotide ribosomal RNA is filed under the name uncultured bacterium. RNAcentral's name for it is "bacterial SSU rRNA". It matches the Rfam family "Bacterial small subunit ribosomal RNA", at positions 237 to 773 of the family's 1533-position model. The record is from RNAcentral.